This 68-nucleotide transfer RNA is filed under the name Gorpis humeralis. Its description in RNAcentral is "tRNA-Phe". It matches the Rfam family "tRNA". From Rfam's summary of the family: Transfer RNA (tRNA) molecules are approximately 80 nucleotides in length. Lineage: Eukaryota; Metazoa; Arthropoda; Insecta; Hemiptera; Nabidae. The record is from RNAcentral.
AUUAAUGUAGCUUAAGUUUAAAGCGUAGUAUUGAAGAUACUAAUAUAAAUAUUUAUAUUUCAUUAAUA